Molecule: long non-coding RNA, 591 nt
Organism: Apodemus sylvaticus (European woodmouse)
Lineage: Eukaryota; Metazoa; Chordata; Mammalia; Rodentia; Muridae
Exons: 3
Source: RefSeq, a predicted model, not a curated record
UUGUGUACUGUCUGGAUACCUGCCUGUGAGCCGGUGAAAUUAGAAAGAAUCAGUCUUCAGCACAAGGGCAGCCACAGGGCGUUCGGGCUCUUUUAAAGUGCUGUGGUCUCGGCACGCGAUGUUAGCCUGUGAGUAGAGCCUUUCACAGUGCUGUUUAUCACAUUUGAUAGUUAUUUCUGAUAAAAUCUGAUUUUAAAGUUCAAAUCUGCUUAUCGAAUCAUACUAACGCAUGGAAAAUUCAUGCUUUCGUUGUCUGCUUUACUUAAAAAUAAGGAAGCUAAUGUAGGACUGAGCAUUUCGUUUAGAUGCUUUCUGAAACCAGGCUUAGUGACCCUGCCUGACACAGCAUCUCAGGAGCUUCUGGGAUCACACUGGACUCUUGCAAAACUUUGGGGAAGAUCUUCGCGCCUUGAGCAAAAGCCUGGUAAGCCUGGUGGGGAUUUCCGGUUUGGCUCCCUGUGAUGUCACAGUAUCCAGACUACAUUUCCCCGAAGUCUGUGCGAAGGAAUUCCUGGAACCCAGAUCUGAACUCUGCUCCAGAAAUGUGACCAGGUACGGCUUCGAGAAAGCAAGACCUGUUUGGAAAAGGAA